AGAAAGUAGACAACAGCAAUAAAAAAGCAAACAAGAGAUAAUAAAAAAAAACAAGCAGAAGAAUAUUUUUUACACAAAAAAAGCAACAAAAAAACAAUAACAACAAAACAAAGAAACUCGAAAAAAUAGAGACAAAAAGGAAGCAAUAAAAACCUGAUCAAAAUGAUCCACCCCCAGGCGUAGAGUGACCAAGCUUCAUGUAAUCUGGAAAGGAAUAAAUCGAAAGGAUAAUUAAAACUAUAUUCCGACACAUGCACACACAGACGCACAGGCUCACUAUUGGAUGGCAUUAUCAGGGUGUUAGUGUUGUUGUUGUGUACGUGAGAGGUUGCGUAAACUGAGGAAACGCCAGCUGACUCCUUCUUCUCCGACCGACACCAGACACGGUCGCGUCACGCCACCCAGGGAAAGUGUUACUUUGAAGGACAAGAUGGUGGCGCGCGCGUGGUACCACCGAACUAACAAACCAACCGGAGCUUCAAACCCGACGCGAACGUGGCGACAGGAGAGAAAGACGCAAGGGACCACCACCACGCCAUCGAAAUGUGCGAAUGCGAAACCAAACAUGCCUUUUUCGAGUGGGGAGAUGUCACGCAGCAUGCUGUGGUGGCGGCCGUUGUGUUUGCAAAAAAGGUAGGAAAGGAGUGCGGUCGAAUCGAAAGACACAAACAACAGUCGCAGCAAGCAUUGGUGCCAUUGAUUCCGCCAACGGUGUGUACACGGGAAGGAUGGUUUUGGGACCAUCAAUGAGCAAAGUAGCAGCAAUGUUGCCGUGGUCAUCGUUGUUGUAAUCCCAAAAAUAAAGACGAAUGUCAAUGUCGAGCGGGGCGAGCGUGUGUGUUUGUGUGUGGUGUGAUUAGAUGAUACCGAUUUCAAACGACACACACGGUGGGACGGACACGCUAGCAACGUGGUGUCUGUCGGUGUCAGAUUCAAACGAUAAUAGUAAUUUCAAUCGAGAGAGAGAGAGAUAGAGAGAUAGAGAGAUAGAGAGAGAGAGAGAGAGAGAGAGAAAGAGAGAGAGAGGGAGAGGGAGAGCAACAACUCUAAUAGAAUGUUUGAAAAUGGUGCGUGCGUGGUGUUGUUACAAUUUAAU
Long non-coding RNA from Anopheles gambiae (African malaria mosquito), 1096 nucleotides. RefSeq lists it as uncharacterized. The transcript is spliced from 2 exons. NCBI's taxonomy places the organism in Eukaryota, Metazoa, Arthropoda, Insecta, Diptera, Culicidae. The record is from RefSeq and is a predicted model, not a curated record.